AGAGUUUGAUCAUGGCUCAGAACGAACGCUGGCGGCGCGUUUUAAGCAUGCAAGUCGAACGGUAGAGGUAGCAAUACCUUGAGAGUGGCGAACGGGUGAGUAACACGUAGGUGAUCUGCCUUUGGGAGGGGGAUAGUCCAUGGAAACAUGGGGUAAUACCCUAUGAGGCCUGUAGCGAUGGUUACAGGUGAAAGGUGCAAUUGUACCGCCUGAAGAUGAGCCUGCGGCCUAUUAGUUAGUUGGUGAGGUAAUGGCCCACCAAGACCGCGAUAGGUAGCCGGCCUGAGAGGGUGUACGGCCACACUGGGACUGAGACACGGCCCAGACUCCUACGGGAGGCAGCAGCUAAGAAUCUUCCGCAAUGGACGAAAGUCUGACGGAGCGACGCCGCGUGGAUGACGAAGGCCGAGAGGUUGUAAAAUCCUUUUCUUGGUGAAGAAUAAGAAUUGGAGUGGAAUGCCAGUUUGAUGACGUUAGCCAAGGAAUAAGCUCCGGCCAAUUACGUGCCAGCAGCCGCGGUAAUAC
Molecule: ribosomal RNA, 525 nt
Filed under: Spirochaeta sp.
Lineage: Bacteria; Pseudomonadati; Spirochaetota; Spirochaetia; Spirochaetales; Spirochaetaceae
Also listed under: 2 other names
Description: bacterial SSU rRNA
Rfam family: Bacterial small subunit ribosomal RNA
Source: RNAcentral